CAAAAAUCCCAAUUCUGAAACAUAAACUAAUAUCCUUCAUGGAGACGCAGCUCCUAAAAUAACUGAAAAUAAAAUAUGAUCACUAUUAUUAGACUCUAGCCCACUCCAAUCAAAUCCAACUCCAAAGCCUUGCCAAUAACAUUAACCUGAAAUUUGUAAGUCGUGAGCUACACAGCCCAGUAAGAAAACAAAUUCGACUAACAGACCAAAAACUAUCAAGACUUGCCAUUGUUCACAAUUUCAUAACCAAAAAUCAUAAACCAAUAUUUCAUAAAGUAAAUUCCACAGUUCGCUAGGCCACUAAUACCCGGUGGCACGGUAUCAUUGGUUCAUAGGUGUCAAUAAUGCGCCCCUUACUAAGGUAUCAUAAAUUGUGCCAAGCACGCCCUAGUAAGGUAUCAUAAUCUAGUUCCGGAACUAUACGCAAUUACUAACAGGUUCAUAAUUCAUAGCUAGCUGGGAAUUCCUUAUAUCUAAAAUAUUUUAUCAAUCCCAAACUUUCACAACAAAGCAGUAUAAAGCAUUUGAAACAAUUCUGAAAGUGCGAAAAGUAAUCUUACCUUAGCAAAACAAUCACUUAUAACUCGCAGCACUGAGCCCUACACAGAUUUUUAAUCAUAAAAUAAAGGAUUAUCAGUCUACUAGACAAUAAGAAUACAAUCUUUUUAACCCUAUGAUUUCUAACAGUACACCAGUAAGGUUUAGGACUAACAUAUAUUAAAUAUAAUAUAACCUUGCCCAACUGGCCAACACUGAUACACUGACCAAACCUGAUAUCCAAGGAACAGGAGUAAAAACAUUAUUUAAUAAAUAAUUAAGAACUAAACAAAAUCUCUUUUUUUUUUUUUGUUUUCAGAAAACAUCUUUUAUAAAAAUAUUUUAAUGUACACAAAAUCAAUUAUAUGAAAAAAGUAGCUAAAAUAAUUUAUUUGUUUCCAAAUCAAAAUAUAUAGUAAUUAAUAACAUGGUAAAUAAAUAUUAAAAACAUUUGCCAAACACAAAUAUCAUUGGUAACACAUUUUUAACACAUCCACACAUAUUACCGAUGCAUAAAAUACACAUAUAUAUAAUUCGUAAAAUCAUGGAAAAUAUAAUAAAUUAAAUAUAAGAAAAUAUAUAUUUGAAGAAAACCUUUUUCAUGUUGCAGAACACUUAUUUUCAAAAAUAUAAGUAACCUUCAUAUGAGAUACAGUAUACAUUAAGAAUAUAACCAAAUAGAGAAUAAUCUUCAUUUACAUAACAAUAUCAGUACACAAUCAGAAUAACAGAGAGAAUAACAGGAGGGUUUGAAAACGUACUGUACAUAACCUAUUUUUUAUCUAUCAGUAUCACUACACAAUCAGAGAUAUCAGUAUAACUACACAAUCAGAGAGAAUGACAGGAGGGUUUCAAAACAUACUGUACGUAACCUAUUUUUUAUAUCACAGCUUCAUCAGUAUAGAAAUAUAAAGAAAACACAACGACAGUAGAGAAUAACAGUAGGGUUAAAAGAAAGCGUACCUUUUGUGGUUAAAACCUUCACAAGGCUACGGUAUAUAUAAGCUAUAACCUAUUUGUUACGUAAAAGAUAUCUUAAUUAACAGUACUAAUCAUAAUAAGGAUAAACCUUACGUAUUAAAAAUAGGACACGGAUGUUUACUCUUUUUAAAACUAAAACCACAUAAUAUUUAUAAAACCUUAUAAACCAAACAUUAAUAAAAUCUUAUUAACAACAUACUUUUAAAUCCUACACAAUAAAAUACUAAUAAUAUAUUUCAUAAUAAAAUAAAAUCUUGCAAUUUAAAAUAUCAGUAAAAGUUUUCACAAUAAAAUAUUUGCAUCAUAAAAUACUAAUAAAAUAUUGCACAAUAAAUACUUUUUCAAAAAUUUAUACAAUACAUAUAUAUAUACAUAACAAUUAAAUAUAAAAAAAAUUACGAAUAUUACAUUCUACCCUCCUUAAAAAAAAUUUGGUCCCCAAAUUUACACCUAAAGACAUACAUGUAAUGUACUCUUAAAAUAAAAUAAAAAUAGGGAAAAUCUUACCUUAAUUUUCUUUCGGUUCGUGUUGGUAUACUCGCCCAUAAUUUGGACCAAGUAAAGCCGCUAAGGUUGCUUUGUUCCCAUUGUCUUUGUCUCUGGUUGGGUCACGUUUUGGACAUUCAGCAACUCUAUGUCCCAUCUCACCGCAACUGAAACAUGCUCCUGUGUUCCAUCGGCAGUCCUUAUCCAAGUGAUUACGACCACACCUUGAACAUUGAAGCUUUCCCCCUUGAUUCCCUUUGUUUGCAUUUCCACCCGUUCCUCGAUUGUUAAACUUCUUCGACGAUCCAGUACCAUUAAAUCCUCCUGAAGGCUCGCUUCGCUUCUUAGUUUCUUCAUCUUUCUUCUUUAAUGCCUCGACCAUGCCCCUUUCAACCACUAAUGCCUUGUUAAGUACUUGCUCAUACGUGGUUAACUCAAAAUUUGCAACAGCAUGCCUAAUAUUUUCCCUAAGUCCUUCCUCCAAUCUUUUAGCCCGACUGAUCUCGUCAGCAACUAAGGUAGGAGCAUAUUUGGAGAGCCUCGCAAACUCUGCUUCAUACUCUACUACCGUCCGAUCUCCCUGCUCAAGCCUAAUGAAAUCCCUCUCUUUUUGCACACGAAUAGUUCUUGGAAAGUAUUUAUCUGUCAAUGCCGUCUUGAAUCUAUCCCAUGUCAUCGGAUCAGCAUUUUCCUCAUUCCUCCUUUGCUCCAUCAGCCACCAAUCAUAUGCACUGCCCUGUAAUUGAUACACAGCUAAAGUAACCUUUUGCCCAUCAUUACUUCCCAUCAAUUCAAAUGCCUUUUCCAUCUCUUGGAUCCAUUUUUCCACAAUAGCAGGGUCAGUUGCACCAUCAAAUGUUGGGGGGUUCAAACGCUUGAAUUCUGACACAAUACUUCGUUGAGCUGGUUGUUGAUUCCCAACGAGUGUUGCCAAGGUUUGCGCGAGCUGGUUCAACAUAUUUCCACCCUCAUUAUUAUUGUUAUUGUUAUUGUUUCCACCGCUUCCGUUGUUUCUGUUGUUGCGAUUGUUAGCACCUCCACGUCGAGCACUCAUGAUUCCUUCAAACAAGAAUAAACUAUCUAUAAUAUGGAUCAUAAUUAUCAAGAAGGUAGAUAUAUUCAUAAUCCAAUAAAUGAAAUUCAUAAAAAUGUUAAAACAAUAAUACUAAAUUUAUUAAUCUAGGCUCGAAAUAGGCCACAAAAUGUGUCUUCAAACAAUACCAAAUAAAAACUAGACCUACGCGACUUGAUAUUUAAGAGAAACAAUCCAUAAACCAAACUAUCUAAAUAAUAAACUAAAUUUCUUCUAAAAUCUCAGUCACCCUUGCUCUAGUCGUCGCGAUUGCUCUUCGAUGCCCUUGUAGAAAAUCCGUGGUGAUCCUCUUGAUCCAUGCGGGACAUCGCGAUAAUGGCCAUCGACAAAUAAAGUUUAUUGAACGUUCGGAGGCUCUAGUAUCCCUUCUUACUAUUUCCAGCACUCUAGCAGCCUUAUCUUUUUGAUGUCGGCAGUCCUUAAGAUGGUUUAUGUAAGCUGUGUAAAGAACAUUAUAUUUCAUUUCUAAAUUAAACUUUGCUCCCUCAGCUUCUUCUUCUCUAAGUUUGAGUUUCAAUUUUAGUAAUGCAUUCUCUCCCUUUAACUUGGCUAUCUCAUCAUCCCUACAUGGCUGACACACAACCUCGGGAAAGGAAGAUUCCUUAACCGAGUCCUCACUAUCAUAAUCGGGUUGAGGAGCAUCCUCAUCUAUCUCGAGUGAAAUUACAGAUUCAAUGUCCUCCUCGGGGUCUUCCUCAAAAUCGUCCUCAAACUCUUCAUCCAGACCCCAAACAUUGUCAUUAUCUGCCAUCUACACAAAUUUUAAAAACGAUAUAUUAAAAAUUUGUUUCUAAAGAUAAUUCUUUAUCCCUAACGACAUAACUUAAUCCUAGCAGAUAGUCUACAGGAAGCUAACCUAGGCUCUGAAUACCAACUGUAACAGCCCGAUUUUUCGGACUAUUAUCAUUCUAUCAAAUAAUAGAAAUUCCACAUUUAAUCCAUAAAUAAUAUAAAGAAAGUCACAUAAUAUCAUAAAUCAAUCUCUCAAAAAUCUCAAUUCUGAAACAUAAACUAAUAUCCUUCAUGGAGACGCAGCUCCUAAAAUAACUGAAAAUAAAAUAUGAUCACUAUUAUUAGACUCUAGCCCACUCCAAUCAAAUCCAACUCCAAAGCCUUGCCAAUAACAUUAACCUGAAAUUUGUAAGUCGUGAGCUACACAGCCCAGUAAGAAAACAAAUUCGACUAACAGACCAAAAACUAUCAAGACUUGCCAUUGUUCACAAUUUCAUAACCAAAAAUCAUAAACCAAUAUUUCAUAAAGUAAAUUCCACAGUUCGCUAGGCCACUAAUACCCGGUGGCACGGUAUCAUUGGUUCAUAGGUGUCAAUAAUGCGCCCCUUACUAAGGUAUCAUAAAUUGUGCCAAGCACGCCCUAGUAAGGUAUCAUAAUCUAGUUCCGGAACUAUACGCAAUUACUAACAGGUUCAUAAUUCAUAGCUAGCUGGGAAUUCCUUAUAUCUAAAAUAUUUUAUCAAUCCCAAACUUUCACAACAAAGCAGUAUAAAGCAUUUGAAACAAUUCUGAAAGUGCGAAAAGUAAUCUUACCUUAGCAAAACAAUCACUUAUAACUCGCAGCACUGAGCCCUACACAGAUUUUUAAUCAUAAAAUAAAGGAUUAUCAGUCUACUAGACAAUAAGAAUACAAUCUUUUUAACCCUAUGAUUUCUAACAGUACACCAGUAAGGUUUAGGACUAGCAUAUAUUUUAACCCUGCCCACCUGGCCAACACUGAUACUGAUAUUUAUAUAAUCUGACACUGCCCAACUGACCAAACCUGAUAUCCAAGCAACAGGAGUAAACUAUUACUUUCAAAUAAAUUAAGAACUAAUAAAAAUCUCUUUUCUUUUGUUUCCAGAAAACAUCUUAUAUAAAAAUAUUUUA
RNAcentral lists this long non-coding RNA (4978 nucleotides) under Daucus carota (carrot). Its description in RNAcentral is "long non-coding RNA (DCAR_LNC006009)". The record is from RNAcentral. Lineage: Eukaryota; Viridiplantae; Streptophyta; Magnoliopsida; Apiales; Apiaceae.